GAUGAACGCUGGCGGCGGGCCUAACACAUGCAAGUCGAACGGACAGACGAGGAGCUUUCUCCUCUGACGGUAGCGGCGGACGGGUGAGUGACACGUGGAUAACCUACCUAUAAGACGGGGAGGACUUCGUGAAACCGGUGACAAUAACAGCUAAUAUAUUCAACCGCAGAGAGCAAGAGUUAAAGGCAGCUUUCCUGUCACUUAUAGAUGGAGUCGGGCCGCAUUAGCUAGUUGGUAAGGUAACGGCUCACCAAGGCAACGAUGCGUAGCCGAUCUGAGAGGGUGAUCAGCCACACUGGAACUGAGACACGGUCCAGACUCCUACGGGAGGCAGCAGUGGGGAAUCUUGCACAAUGGGCGCAAGCCUGACGCAGCCACGCCGCGUGAGUGAAGAAGGCCUUCGGAUUGUAAAGCUCUUUUAUUGGGGAAGAACAGAUGUAUGUGUAAACCUGCACGUCUUGACGGUACCCAAAGAAAAAGCCCCGGCUAACUACGUG
This 497-nucleotide ribosomal RNA is filed under the name uncultured bacterium. RNAcentral's name for it is "partial 16S ribosomal RNA". It matches the Rfam family "Bacterial small subunit ribosomal RNA", at positions 28 to 507 of the family's 1533-position model. The record is from RNAcentral.